UAUGCAGGAAAAAGAUCUUUUACUGAAGUCAUUAAACAUCAUUAAAAUAUUGUGUUGUGACUCCAGGUGCUCUGACAUGUUCUCCCCGUGUCAGCGUGGGUUUCCUCCCGGUGCUCUGACAUGUUCUCCCCGUGUCAGCGUGGGUUUCCUCCAGGUGCUCUGACAUGUUCUCCCCGUGUCAGCGUGGGUUUCCUCCCGGUGCUCUGACAUGUUCUCCCCGUGUCAGCGUGGGUUUCCUCCAGGUGCUCUGACAUGUUCUCCCUGUGUCAGCGUGGGUUUCCUCCAGGUGCUCUGACAUGUUCUCCCUGUGUCAGCGUGGGUUUCCUCCAGGUGCUCCCACAUGUUCUCCCUGUGUCAGCGUGGGUUUCCUCCAGGUGCUCUGACAUGUUCUCCCCGUGUCAGUGUGGGUUUCCUCCAGGUGCUCUGACAUGUUCUCCCCGUGUCAGCGUGGGUUUCCUCCAGGUGCUCUGACAUGUUCUCCCCGUGUCAGUGUGGGUUUCCUCCAGGUGCUCUGACAUGUUCUCCCUGUGUCAGCGUGGGUUUCCUCCAGGUGCUCCCACAUGUUCUCCCCGUGUCAGUGUGGGUUUCCUCCAGGUGCUCUGACAUGUUCUCCCCGUGUCAGCGUGGGUUUCCUCCAGGUGCUCCCACAUGUUCUCCCUGUGUCAGCGUGGGUUUCCUCCAGGUGCUCCCACAUGUUCUCCCUGUGUCAGCGUGGGUUUCCUCCAGGUGCUCUGACAUGUUCUCCCUGUGUCAGUGUGGGUUUCCUCCAGGUGCUCUGACAUGUUCUCCCUGUGUCAGUGUGGGUUUCCUCCAGGUGCUCUGACAUGUUCUCCCCGUGUCAGCGUGGGUUUCCUCCAGGUGCUCUGACAUGUUCUCCCCGUGUCAGCGUGGGUUUCCUCCAGGUGCUCUGACAUGUUCUCCCCGUGUCAGCGUGGGUUUCCUCCAGGUGCUCCGGCUUCCUCCCACAGUCCAAAGACAUGCAGGUUAAUUGGUGACUCUAAAUUGUCCGUAGGUGUGAAUGUGAGUGUGAAUGGUUGUCUGUCUCUAUGUGUCAGCCCUGUGAUAGUCUGGUGACCUGUCCAGGGUGAACCCUGCCUCUCACCCAGUGUCAGCUGGGAUAGGCUCCACCCCCCGUGACCCCUAACAGGAUGAGUGGUUAUGGAAAAUGAAUGAACUACAAAGUAAAUAAAUACAUCUCUGCAGUACCUCAGAGCUGUACUGAUGUUCAGAUUGUGACAGCAGCGUCUGAGCCAUUGAGUUCUUAAAUGAAUAAUAAAUUACAGAUCCAUUUUUUAAAUAUGAAAUAACAAUAAUCAGA
Epinephelus fuscoguttatus (brown-marbled grouper) is the source of this 1318-nucleotide RNA transcript. RefSeq lists it as uncharacterized. NCBI's taxonomy places the organism in Eukaryota, Metazoa, Chordata, Actinopteri, Perciformes, Serranidae. The transcript is spliced from 3 exons. The record is from RefSeq and is a predicted model, not a curated record.